This 28-nucleotide non-coding RNA is filed under the name Rattus norvegicus (Norway rat). The record is from RNAcentral. Lineage: Eukaryota; Metazoa; Chordata; Mammalia; Rodentia; Muridae.
UGAUUUAUAUUCCUAGGCUUACCAGAAU